CCUACGGGCGGCAGCAGUGAGGAAUAUUGGUCAAUGGACGAGAGUCUGAACCAGCCAAGUAGCGUGAAGGAUGACUGCCCUAUGGGUUGUCAACUUCUUUUAUAUGGGAAUAAAAUGUUCCACGUGUGGGUUUUUGUAUGUACCUUAUGAAUAAGGAUCGGCUAACUCCGUGCCAGCAGCCGCGGUAAUCCGGAGGAUCCGAGCGUUAUCCGGAUUUAUUGGGGUUAAAGGGAGCGUAGGUGGAUUGUUAAGUCAGUUGUGAAAGUUUGCGGCUCAACCGUAAAAUUGCAGUUGAAACUGGCAGUCUUGAGUACAGUAGAGGUAGGCGGAAUUCGUGGUGUAGCGGUGAAAUGCUUAGAUAUCACGAAGAACUCCGAUUGCGAAGGCAGCUCACUGAACUGCAACUGACACUGAGGCUCGAAAGUGUGGGUAUCAAACAGGAUUAGAUACCCUGGUAGUC
Molecule: ribosomal RNA, 460 nt
Filed under: uncultured bacterium
Lineage: Bacteria
Description: partial 16S ribosomal RNA
Rfam family: Bacterial small subunit ribosomal RNA
Source: RNAcentral